GAUAGUGACCUACAAAGGAAAUAAAGUGAAAGAAGAAUUCAAUGAGGCCCAUGUAUUAACUCGUUCGGGGAGAUGCUUUGCCCCAGAAAAGUUAAGGAAAGCUAAAACCUCCAGAGAUAACCCAGUUCUAGUGAAAAAAGCAGUGACUGAAGAAGAGACGCAGGAGUUUCUGAGAAAAAUGAAGGUACAAGACUAUUCCAUCGUAGAGAAAUUGAGAAAGACACCUGCUCAAAUUUCACUAUUGUCAUUGUUAAUCCACUCAGACGAGCAUCGUCGGGCCUUGAUGAAAAUUUUGAACGAGGCUCAUGUUCCCGACAAAAUUUUAGUAAACCAUCUGGAAAAGAUCGCCAACAAAAUAUUUGAGGUGAACAGGGUUACUUUCUCUGAUGAUGAGUUGCCCGUGGAAGGUACUGAACACAACACAACUCUCUAUCUUACGGUAAAAUAUGAAGAUUCUAUGGUUACCAAGGUAUUUGUUGACAAUGGUUCCAAUGCAAACAUUUGCCCUGUCUCUACUCUGAACAAGUUGAAAGUGGAUGAUGAGAGGAUUCACAAGAACAUCAUUUGCGUUCGGGGAUUUGACGGUGGAGGGAAAGAUUCAGUUGGUGAUAUAGUGCUUGAGUUGAUAAUAGGACCGGUGGAAUUCACCAUGGAGUUCCAGGUGCUGGACGUAACCAUUUCUUACAAUUUGAUGUUAGGUCGACCUUGGAUUCAUGCCGCCAAAGCAGUCUCGUCCACUCUGCACCAGAUGGUCAAGUUCGAAUGGGAUAGACAAGAGAUCGUCGUGCAUGGUGAAGAUAACUUGUGUGCUCAUAGUGAUGCCUCUAUCUCGUUCAUUGAGGUUGAAGACGACAAAGGGCCUUGGGUCUAUCAAGUUUUUGAAACAGUGCCGGUGGAGAAGGUUCCAGAAGGGAAAUGUGUUCCAACCCCAAAGAUAACCUCCGCAUCAGUCAUGGUGGCCUUUGAAAUGCUGAAAAAUGGCUUUGUGCAUGGUAAGGGUCUGGGUGCAUCUCUACAGGGUAUCAUAUAGGUGGUGUCCCUCCCUAAAAACUUGGGUACAUUUGGUCUAGGAUUCAAAUCCACAGCCACAGAUAUGAAAAGGGCUAGAAAGUUGAAACAGAGGGCAUGGGCACUUACAAAUCCUAUCCCACGUCUCUCCAGGUCGUUUGUUAAGCCCGGUGUCAGGAAAUGCCCAGUGAUAACAGUUCCAAGUUCUAUGGUUGACAUUGAUAAAGAGUUAAUUGAAAGGUUCGAGAGGUUGUUCGACGAUGUGAACAUGGUGGAAAUUGGAGAAGGUUCUAGCAAAGCAGAUGUGUAGCUUGUCGGGCCGAAUACAAAGCUUAACAAUUGGGAGGCUACUGCUCUCCCUACUUGGAAGGAGUUUUGGUAGUUUGCUUUGAUUUUCUUUCAGUUUACCUAGAUUAUUGCAGGGUUGUAAUUCAGAUUUUAUGUUUCGUCCAUUUGGAUGUAUAAACCCUGUUAUCUUUUAUUUUUAAUGAAAUGCAAUUUCCCUUUUCCAUCGUUCCUGAUAGUUUUAUUUUUGUUUUUUCUUUUCUUCCCUGUACAGUUCUUUUUAUGCUGGUUUCAAUGACAUGACAUGCAUGAGGAAUCUUCGGCCCAGUCUUAAAAGUCAAUCUAAUUCUGAAAUAAUAAUUCAAGAAAUAUAGUGUAAUGAUGAAUCAGAAUAUGAUGAGGAUGAGGCCUUUGAAGAGAUUAGUAAGGAAUUAAAUUAUUUUGAAAAAAACCCCAAGCCUAGCCUGAAUGAUAUGGAAGCAAUCAAUUUAGAGGACCCAGAUAAUAUCAGAGAAACUAAGAUAAGUGUCCAUCUUGAACUGCAAAUCAGGGAAGAGAUAAUUAAAACAUUGUUUGAAUACAAAGAUAUUUUUUCAUGGUCAUAUGAUGACAUGCCAGGUCUAAGGACUGACUUGGUGGUUGACAAAUUGCCCACUAACCCGGCAUUUCCUCCCGUCAAACAGAAGUUGACAAAAUUCAAAACUGACAUGAGUGUAAAGAUUAAAGAGGAGGUCACAAAGCUGUUUGAUGCAAAGGUUAUUCGGGUCACGCGGUAUCCCACGUGGUUAGCCAAUGUUGUACCUAUGCCAAAGAAAGAUGGUAAGGCCACAAUGUGUGUUGAUUACCGUGAUCUCAACAAGGCAAGUCCAAAGGACAACUUCCCACUACCAAAUAUCCAUAUUUUAAUCGAUAAUUGUGCACAUGAGAUUGGGUCUUUCGUGGAUUGCUAUGCGGGGUAUCAUUAGAUUUUAAUGGACGAGGAGGAUGUAGAAAAGAUGGCAUUCAUCACACUAUGGGGAACAUACUACUACCAGGUCAUGCCUUUUGGUCUGAAAAUUGUUGGGGCAACGUACAUGAGGGCAAUGACAACCGUAUUCCACGACAUGAUACACAAGGAGAUUGAGGUUUACGUGGAUGAUGUGAUCAUAAAGUCCAGAAAGCAGUCUGACCAUGUCAGAGAAUUGAGAAAGUUUUUCCAAAGGCUUCGUAGGUACAAUCUUAAGCUCAAUCCUGCAAAGUGCGCAUUUGGCAUUCCAUCAGGGAAACUAUUGGGGUUCAUAGUCAGCUGGCGGGGCAUUAAGUUGGAUCCGUGAAAGAUCAAAGCUAUCCAGGAAUUUCCACCGCCGAGGAACAAGACUGAGGUGAUGAGUCUGUUAGGGAGGCUAAACUACAUCAGCAGGCUUAUUGCUCAGCUCACGACAACUUGUGAGUCUAUCUUUAGGUUGCUGAAGAAGGAUGCUACGGUCAAGUGGACUGAUGAGUGUCAGGAAGCAUUCGAUAAGAUAAAAGCGUACUUGUCAAACCCACCUAUGUUGGUCCCACCAGAAUCGGGAAGACCUUUGAUUUUGUAUUUGACGGUCUUAGAUAAUUCAUUUGGUUGUGUGUUGGGCCAGCAUGACAUCACUGGCAGGAAGGAGCAAGUCAUCUACUAUCUCAGCAAGAAGUUCAUAUCUUAUGAGGUUCAGUACACUCACCUUGAAAGGACAUGAUGCGCCCUAACUUGGGUAGCACAGAAGUUAAAGCAUUAUUUGUCAUCUUGCACUACUUACCUCAUUUCUCGUCUGGAUCCAUUAAAGUAUAUCUUUCAGAAGCCUAUGCCUACAGGGAGACUUGCGAAGUGGCAGAUUUUGCUCAUGGAGUUUGACAUUAUCUAUGUGACUCGAACUGUGAUAAAAUCCCAAGCAUUGGUUGAUCAUUUGGCCGAGACCCCGGUAGAUAAAGAAUAUGAACCGUUGAGAACUUAUUUUCCCGAUGAAGAGGUGAUGCAUAUUGAUGAGCUGGAGUAGACUAAAAAAUCAGGUUGGAAACUUUUCAUUGAUGGGGCUGCAAACAUGAAAGGAGUCGGAAUAAGGGUCGUGCUUAUUUCUGAAAUAGGGCAUCACUACCCUAUUACGGCUCAGUUUUGUUUCUAUUGUGCCAACAACAUGGCUGAGUACGAGGCAUGCAUUUUGGGUUUGAGGUUAGCUGUAGACAUGGGUGUCCAGGAAGUCUUGGUCUUGGGAGACUCGGACCUUCUGGUGCACCAGAUUCAAGGAGAAUGGGAAACACGGGAUCUAAAUUUCAUACCGUAUCGACAAUGUUUGCAUAAUCUUUGUCAACGGUUUCGAUCAGUAGAGUUCAGGCAUAUUCCAAGGAUCUAUAAUGAUGUUGCUGAUGCUUUGGCUGCCUUGGUGUCAAUGUUGCACCAUCCGGACAAAGCUUNNNNNNNNNNNNNNNNNNNNNNNNNNNNNNNNNNNNNNNNNNNNNNNNNNNNNNNNNNNNNNNNNNNNNNNNNNNNNNNNNNNNNNNNNNNNNNNNNNNNNNNNNNNNNNNNNNNNNNNNNNNNNNNNNNNNNNNNNNNNNNNGAAAAGUUGCCCUUUGCAUUGUUGGGUUAUCGCACUAUUGUUCGUACUUCAGUAGGCGAAACUCCUUACUUGUUUGUAUAUGGCACAGAAGCAGUGAUACCCUCGGAAGUUGAAAUUCCAUCCCUUCGGAUUGUUGCAGAAGCCGAGAUUGAUGAUGAUGUGUGGGUCAAAACCCAUCUGGAGCAACUGAGUUUGAUUGAUGAGAAGAGAUUAGCAGCAGUGUGUCAUGGCCAGUUGUAUCAAAAGAGGAUGGAAAGAGCGUACAACAAGAAGGUACAUCCCCGGAAAUUUGAAGUGGGUCAGCAAGUAUUGAAAUGCAUCCUUCCACAUCAGGCUGAAGCAAAAGGUAAGUUCGUCCCAAAUUGGCAGGGGUCGUUCAUUGUAACAUUUGAGUGUUGUCCAAUGGUGCUUUGUAUUUAACAGAUAUAGAAGGCAAAUAUGUAGAUAUGGCUAUCAAUUCUGAUGCAGUCAAAAGAUAUUAUGCAUGAUUUCUGUUGUUUAAAUUGUGUUUGUUUGUACUUAGCGUGUUUUGAAGAUUGGAAUGAUGAAGGCAAUUUGUUCUGCUAUCUAAACACUUUAUCCUUUGUUACCCCUUUGCCUUAUUUAUUUCCUUUCAUACCCCUCUUUUGGAAUCAGUAGCAAAGUUCAGAAACGCGAGCGCAAAAGAUAAGUAAAGGAAAAGAGAGAAAAGAGCAAGAAAAGAAUGAAAAAGAGUGGAAAAAAAAAGAAAGAAGAAGAAAAAAACAACAAAAAGGGAAAAGAUAAAAAGAAAAAGAAGAGAAAAGAAAAAUAAAAGAGAAAAAUCACAACAACAAAGUAAUUUCUAUGACAUGAACUACGUUCAACCUGAUUCCUUUUAAGGAUAUGUAGGCAGCCUCACGGUUCGGUCCCAUCAAAAUAAAAAUUCAAAAGUCCCCAAGCAAAGAAACUGAGGUAGAAAGUUGUGGUUGUUCUAUGAAAUCUGAUUCCAAAAGUUGUAAUUUUGAACCCAUUUGAAUUGUUUUGAGCCUUUUGAUAUCAUUUCUUCCUAACCCUAUCCAAAAGCCCACAUUACGGUCCAAAGAAAGACCUUCCGAUCAGUCUUCGAGAGAUGCCAAGUCAAGCAAGUGGAGGUGAUUCAUAUCAGAGGCAACACUCUGGUCUAAGCAGGAAAAAUAAAAAAAAUGAGAGAGUCUUAUUAGUGAAAACCCUCACGGGCACCGUAAGGCGAUGGAAAUCUGAGAGAAAUUUAAAAAAAAUGAGAGAGUCUUAUUAGUGAAAACCUUCACAGCACCGAAAGGCGACAGUGAGUGGAGAGAUAAACAAAUGAGGGAGGUUUGUUGGUGAAAACUCUUCAGGGCAGCGCAAGCCGAACAAGGUUAGUGAUCUGGCGAAGAAAUCGGGUUAUGGAAAUCCUGGGGCAUAAAGUAUGACAACUGAAAAUUGAUUGGUUGGACAGAUUGAGCUGAUUAAUCCGAAAUGCAUGUCAUGAUCAUUGGUACCAGCUGCUCCACUCAGAUAAGUCUUUUUUCUUUUCCCUCUUUAAACAGUCAUCCAGUUUUGGAUUUUUCUUCCUUAUUCCUAACUCUCAAAGUCAUUGUAUUUUAUUUCUUUUGGGUUUAUUUCUCUAAGAUGUUUCCAAUGUCAGUUUUAUUUAAACAAAUAAGAAAGGAUUUCAAAGCACAUUAUCAACUUCCAAAUUGCACAAAGCAUAGUGCGUCCAGAGCAUGCCAGAGAUAGUAUGAUGUAAAGUGGGACAGAAAGUGGUAGUGAAAGUUCCAUCGGUGGGAUGGUGUAGUAAUUUUGUGGGAGAUUCAGAGGUUCAGAUAGAAGGGUCGGAAAUGUAAAAUGACGGUUUGAGUAUAGAGCACUUGGGUCAUCCAAAGUCCUGUGGUUGAGGAUCAGUCAGAAAGUCAAAACUUGGUCAGUUCAAGGCCGCCAGUCAAAGAAAAACACGGCAAGGGAAGAGCCACCUUCAGCAAGAAUGCCACAAACUAACCACCACAUUUUUAAACUAACAAGAUUUUUCUUUGAUUUGAAACAGGGGCAGAAAAUUUUGUUCGUUUCAUAGAAACCCUUCAUAAGGGAAAGGAAAUACCAAACAGGUUUGACCAUAAAUUCUUAGGACCCUCCUGGAUAAUGGGACCUAAUUUAAAUUCAGAACAUUCAUGAGUAACAAGAUCUAACAUAAGUCUUACCCCAAAGAAAUAAAGUUGGCUUUGAAGUUUUCAUCCUUAGGAUAGGAUUCAAUUCGAAAUUUUCAGGAUCCUCCUGAAUAAUGGGACCUAGCUUUAAGACUUCCAUUAGAUGACAAGAUUUAGCUUAAGUUCUACUGUAAGGAAGUAUAAUUUAGCGUUAAAGUUGUCACUCUUAAGAUGAGAUUUGGUUUUAACUUUCAGGACCCUCUUGGAAAAUGGAAUGUAGUUCUAAGACUUUCUUAGAUAACAAGAUUUAGCAGAAGUCAUAUCUUUAGAAGAUAUAAUUUAGCUUUAAAACUGUCAUUUUACUAGGAGUUUUUAGGACCUUUCUGAAUAAUGGGAUCUAGCUUUCAAAUUAUUAGAGAUAUUUGGUAACAUGAUUCAAUUAACACUCACAGAUGUGCCCAGCUACCAAACUGGGGCAAAAGCUUUUCUUUAUUUUGUCUACUUUGUUGAAAUAGGCACCCACCUGGAGAACAAAGGGAAAACAAAUCAAAUUCCAAGGAAAGCGGAUCAGGUUCAAGCAAUCAGGAGCCCACCUGGAGAACAAAGNNNNNNNNNNNNNNNNNNNAACAAAGGGAAGCAGUUCAAGUUUCGAGGAAAAGCAACGCAAGUCUCGGUAAUCAGGAGCCCACCUGGAGAAUGAAUGGAAACAACAAUGUUCAAAGGAAGUGCGGAAAUCAGGAGCCCACCUGGAGAACAAACGGAGAACAAGGAAAGUUUCGGAGGAAAGAAAGAGAAUCAAAUGUUGGAAAUCAGGAGCUCACCUGGAGAACAAAGGGAAGGUAACAGAGGUCAAAGGAAGACGGUUCAAGUUCAGCAAUCAAGCACUCACUUGGAGAAAAGGGAAAGCAUUUCAAAUUACAAUUCAAGUCAUCAACAAAGGAAUUUCACCUGGAGAGUACGAGUCAACAGAGCAAUAGGGAUUGCAAGAUCAAGUUUGAAGAUAUAGAUAGGAUUCUCGUAAUGCAUAGAUCAUAGUUUAGUCUAGAUUCUUUUAUUUUAUCUUGGUGUAAUAAGGAGUUCAGUAAGCAGUAGCAGCAGCAGCAACAGUGAAAUCUCAGCUUCCUGGUAGUCCCAACUACCGAAACUUUCUGAACUACACCGACCUGAUUCCUUUAUAGCCAAGAGUAUGUAGGCAAUCUCGGAAGCAGGGUGCGGUCAAAUCUUUCAAAAAUACUUCCCACGGAGUAUUCAAACGGGCAAAAAUCGCUCGUAUCCGCUCACUUUGUCUUUGCAUGAAAACUCUGCGUGUUUCCGGGCAAAGAGGGGCAGCUAUGAGCACGUGAUUUUUUUCCUAUAUGAAUUACUCCCAUAAAUUCAAGAAAAAUAAAUUUUUCCCAUUAUUCACAAUUUCGUAGAUUUUAGUAGCAUUUUGUUAAUUGUUUUCAUUUGUCUGUACAUGUUUAAUUUUACUUAAUUCAUGAAAAUACAAAAAUAUAUUGCAUUUGCAUUUAGGAUUUAAUUUUACAUUUUUAGGUUAAUUAGCAAUUUAGUUGUCUUAUAAAAAUGAUUAAAAUCACAAAAAUAAUUCUUUUUUCAUAUGUAACUUUUCAUUUUGAAUUUUAUAGUUUUUCUUUUUAUUUAGGAUUUAAUUAAUUAUUGAAAAUACUAUGUUGAGUGAUUAGUUUAAUUUGGUAAGUUAUUUUAAUGUAAGAGUUAUUUUAGUUUAAUUUAAAAAAGGAAAAGAAAAAAAGAAGAAGAAGAAAGACAAUUGAAUUGAAAAGAAAGGAAAAUAAAAUAAAAGGGCUGAUUGAUUUUGGGCCACUGAUAUCGCAGCUCUAAUGAUUUCCCCUUCCAAACCCAUUCAGGUCGGCCCACUCUCCACCCCAAUACCCGGUCCAACCCCGCAAAUUCACACGGCAUUGUUCCGUGAAAUGAAAGAUCUGAGCCGUUGAUCUCUUUCAAUCCAACGGCCAAGGAACGCCCCUCUCCCUUUGUUAUAAUUGUCCAAACUUCAGAGAGUACCUCGUAUCUCUACACUUCAUCUCCUCAAUCUCUCUCAUCUCUAACCCUACACCCACCGCCCUGAAUUUCUUCACCAUCUCCAACCGGCAGUGGAGCUCAAACUACUACCAAAAUCUAAUCACAUAACCACCACUCAUCCCUGAGUCCCAAUCCACCACCACAUAUCCUCAAAUCCCUACCAAAUCGGGUCAGAUUCAAAUCUAAAAGAAGAAGAAGAAAAAGAAAAUCUCCCCAAGUUCUCAAGUUAAUGAUUAGGUCUAAAAUCGGUAUUGAUCGUCUGUUCUCAACGAGAACACGUGACUGAUGCCAAUUUCGAGUCAAAUUGAAGUCGCCUGAGGUUUGCCAAGCCUUGUCCAUGUGACCAUUUAGGUAUUUCUGUUCUUUUCUCCAUCUUCUCCAUCUUUUGUUUUGUUCUCGUCCUCGUCUCCUUCUGAUUCUUCUCUUUUCGUUCUUGUUUUACUACUUUAAAGUUGUUCUGAUUGCAUGAAUAGGAUCGAGUCAUUUCAGUGUAUAAUAUUUAGAUUAAGCUCUCUGAUUAAUAUUUGCUAGUUUUCUUUUAAUUUUUUUCCUUUUAUUAGUUCUGCUUCGUGUAAAGGUUUUGUGUCUAGAAUUCAGAAAUGGAAUCAUUUUGGUUUUCUUGGUUUGAUUGAAAAUUCAUUGUCCUAAAACUGAACUUGGGCUCGCUAAAUGCAAGAAGCCCAAAGAGUUGUUGAAGCUCGUUGUUACAGGGGGGCCAAAGGCAUUUGGGCAAUUUGGUUCAAAGUUUUAGUGUGAAAGUAAUUAGUGAGUCUUUUAGGUUUAUUUGGGAAAAUUUCAUAAGGGGAAUCUGAUCUAACUAACUAGGAAGUUUCCAAGAAAUUGGGGAAGGGACUGACUUAACAAAACAGAUUUUAAAUUGGGGGGCUGAAGGGAAUUAAUAAAAAUUGGGGAAGGGGUAAUUGAUAAAUUAGCAAAAUCAUUUCUGCUGCCCUAAAGCCAUCUAUAUAAGGUUUGCCUUCAGUAGAAUUAGGGGGAUUGGAACCUAAAAGUUCAGAAACGGCUGAAGAAAUACACGUUGAGAGAGACUGAAAUCAAAAAGAAAAAUACAAAAAAGGGUCACAGUUAUUGUUCCAUUGCAAUUGGUGUUUUCAUUUUUCUUGGACUUUAGAAGCUAGAUUGAAAUUGCUCCUUCUUCUUAGUCACGUGUGAUUGAAACUGUUUGAUUGUUGUUGUUUGCUGCUGUUUUAGAGCCUUGCUGACACUUCUAUUUUUUUUGUUGAAACUUGUGGUUGUUUGUUGUUUUCAGGUAUGUACAUGAGAUGAAGUAACAAGAACAGAUUUGUGACCUGUUGACAUAGAAUGGAAUUAUUUUCUUCACUAGAUUAAAUGUUUCUUUUCUAUUGAUAGUCAACACUGUAAAUAUGAUACUGUUUCAGCUUAGAUUUAGCACAGUUAACAUGAUCUAGUGUAGGUGUUUGGUUUAAGCAUUUGAGUCAUACUAGCUUAUUCGGGUGUUUAAUAUUUAACUACUAUUGAUUGUAACUAUUUGGGAUUGCUUUCUCAAGAGAUUGUUGGAUGUGGACUCAUGAGGUGGUACUGUUGAACGUAUUAAUAGGUUUAGCUACUAUUGAACAUGUUAGUGGUCUGAAUUUGUCUGUCCUUUAUAAAUUGUGCAGAUGGUUAAAUUGUAGUUGAUAGUGUUGUUCCUUUCAUAUGUGAAAUUGCUCUGUUGAAACCAGGUUGAGAUUGAUCAUUGAACCUGCAUAAUUUGGUUUGUUUUAGUUAUGCAUUCCUAUAGUAUUCUGUUUGUAUGAGGUUUUGGUACAUUUAAUAAAGAAUUUCAAAUUCAGCUUCAUGUCUUGUUUAACUACAGUAAUUGAUUAAAAUCAUGAUUAGCCAUGGAUAUUUAUAGCUGAUGCCACUCAUUUCAUGUUUGUCACAAUUUUGGGUUUAACAUGGGCAUCCAACAUACAACCUGUUAAAAUGGGCCCUUUGGGCCUGUUCUGUUUCUGUCGCCCUUGGCCUACUCCUGAGCCCCUUCACGUCUGGCUUAUCGAAUUGGGCCUGGACUGCUUGAGGCUAUAAGGCCUGCUGCUGGCCUUAGUCUCUCCAAAUAACCAAGCGAUCAGUUUCAGUUUAAUGCCAGCCCAUUAAGUAUUAAGUUUAGUUGAACAUUAGCUUUGAAAUAAAAAAUGCAAAUUCCCUUAGUCUUCUAGUUAAUUAAUCAGCUCUUUUUGAAUUUAGACUCGAGGUGUGCCAUGACAAAUAAAAUCUCAAAACUCAUUGCCCUCACUUAAUUAAUUUUAAACCUUUAGAAAUCGAGUUGUGCCAUUUAGUUGAAUUUUCCAUGGCCCUCGUAAACUUGAAAGUGCGUAGUUGCUUUAGGCGCGUUAUUUAAAUUAAUUUCCUUAAACUCGGGUUUGCAUUUCAUGUGACCCAACUCCAAUUCUCAACAACGCUAAAUAAAAUAUGUCGUGGACCGCUGGUGCAUUUCAUGUGACGUGUUUUAAAUAACGUUGAAUUUUCCUAAAAAUGAUUAAAGUGGUUAAUAAGUUAAAAUGCGCAUAGGUUCAAAAGUGUUUUAAAAUCAGAUAAUUAAGCCAAAAAAUAAUAGUUGAGCGACCGUGCUAGAACCACGGAACCCGGGAAUGCCUAACACCUUCUCCCGGGUUAAAAGAAUUCCUUAUUCGGAUUUCUGUGUUUCGCGGAUUGUAAAACAGAGUCAAUCUUUCCUCGAUUCGGAAUUUAAACCUGUGACUUGGGACACCAUAAAUUUUUCCAAGUGGCGACUCUGAAUAAUAAUAUAAUAAUCUCAUUUCGAUUGUCACUUUAAGUUGGAAAAAACUCCCUCACACCCUUCCAGGGGUAGAAAAAUGAGAUGUGACAUUUACGAUCCGUGAACACAGAAAUUCGGGUAAGGAAUUCUGUUAACCCGGGAGAAGGUUUUAGGCAUUCCCGAGUUUCAUGGUUCUAUCACGGUCGCUUUGAUCAUACUUGGCUUAAUCAAAUUGUUUAACUACUCGUUUUGGAACCUAUGUGCUUUCACCUCUUUUAAUUAAAAAAAAUAUCUUAAAACAGGUCACGCGUACAUGUACCCAUUUGUUUGGCACGUCAAAAAUCAUGUCACGCUAACGUGUCCACAAUUAAUAACGCUUUAUAAUUAUUUAGUCAAAGUUGCGCGAACGCAUACUCCGAUUCUGUUUUAAAAAAAUCGUAAUUAGGUCACGUGCACGUGUCCACAAUCACGAUGGUAGAUUAAAUCGCGCCUAAAGCAAGCUACGAAGUUUGGAAGUAUUAACGACCUAAAUAUGCUACUAUCGAUCCAAACAAAUAAAGAAAUUUUUCCUAAUGAGAGCCACAGGUAUAAGGCUUCUAUGGCGAAGGAAUUUAAAUUUACUAUAGAUCUCGAGCUAUCUGAAAACAGACACAUUAUACUUUUUUGUUCUUUGCUCCUAUCGGGUCAAAUAUUAGUUCAUUUGCACGACAGCCAACAAAAAAUCAAAGUAAAACUUCUGCUGAGAAAAAGCAUACCCAUAUAUUUACAUGGAAAGGGUCCUUUCUACUAGAGAUUUAAGCAGCUAACAUAAUAUACUUUGCAGAGACAUUUUUUGCAACAUAACACCUUUCUUAUGGCUUCAACAUAAUCACAAACACAAAUGCAGAACACUACAACAAAAUCAUUCAAACAAUCAUGUAAGAACAGAGAAAACCAACAAAUAAAGGGUAAGGUAGUGACAGACCUCAAAAAUAAUAAUCUUUGAAUCUAAAAAUGCUUAACAUCGAGAAACUUGGACAGUGAUAACCUCGACGGAACCCAAAUCUGUCCGGAAACCUUGUCGGCAACCUCAAACUCAAACCAUCAUCAACCUCGGCUAAUAUCGUUGGACCCGAACUCAAAACUCAUCUCUGAGAUUCUUAGAAUUCGAGCUUGCCGAAAUUUCGAUUGGAGAAGAAGAAGCAGUGGCGAUGUUCAGCCUCUAUUUUGUGGGUGUGCGUGUGCUGAUGUGGGGCUUUUCUUUAAAGGUCUGCGGCUGCUUGAAGAAGAUCAAAAAAAUGGGUGGGGCUCUUUUUUGAUGAAAUGGCGCUGCUUCUGAUUUUUUGGAAUCUAGGGUGUAUUUUUGUGUAUGCUUCUUAGAGAUGAAAUGGAAUUCAGGUGGGGAGUCAUUUUAGAUGUCACCGCUGCUUCUCUUUUUAGGGGUUUCUUUUGGUUAGUUCUUUAGGUUGUUUCGGAAGGAAAAGGAGUUUAGGUGGGGUCUGAAAUUGGAGGAAAAUGGCGGAUCCAUUCUUAGGUCUCUAGGUCCGUUUUUGUGUAUAUUUCGCUGAUAGAUCCUUAGGUCUAGGGGUUAGCUCCUUUUUAUAGGUUUAGGGUAUUAGAGUUAUAUUUAGGUUAAGGGGUAUAGGUCUAGGAAU
This 12391-nucleotide long non-coding RNA is filed under the name Nicotiana tabacum (common tobacco). Its description in RNAcentral is "long non-coding RNA (NTAB_LNC008155)". Lineage: Eukaryota; Viridiplantae; Streptophyta; Magnoliopsida; Solanales; Solanaceae. The record is from RNAcentral.